Molecule: ribosomal RNA, 683 nt
Filed under: Neisseria subflava
Lineage: Bacteria; Pseudomonadati; Pseudomonadota; Betaproteobacteria; Neisseriales; Neisseriaceae
Description: bacterial SSU rRNA
Rfam family: Bacterial small subunit ribosomal RNA
Source: RNAcentral
CGAAAGAUUAGCUAAUACCGCAUAUUCUCUGAGGAGGAAAGCAGGGGACCUUCGGGCCUUGCGUUAUUCGAGCGGCCGAUAUCUGAUUAGCUAGUUGGUGGGGUAAAGGCCUACCAAGGCGACGAUCAGUAGCGGGUCUGAGAGGAUGAUCCGCCACACUGGGACUGAGACACGGCCCAGACUCCUACGGGAGGCAGCAGUGGGGAAUUUUGGACAAUGGGCGCAAGCCUGAUCCAGCCAUGCCGCGUGUCUGAAGAAGGCCUUCGGGUUGUAAAGGACUUUUGUCAGGGAAGAAAAGGAAAGGGUUAAUACCCCUGUCUGAUGACGGUACCUGAAGAAUAAGCACCGGCUAACUACGUGCCAGCAGCCGCGGUAAUACGUAGGGUGCGAGCGUUAAUCGGAAUUACUGGGCGUAAAGCGAGCGCAGACGGUUACUUAAGCAGGAUGUGAAAUCCCCGGGCUCAACCUGGGAACUGCGUUCUGAACUGGGUGACUAGAGUGUGUCAGAGGGAGGUAGAAUUCCACGUGUAGCACUGAAAUGCGUAGAGAUGUGGAGGAAUACCGAUGGCGAAAGCAGCCUCCUGGGAUAACACUGACAUUCAUGCUCUAAAGCGUGUGUAGCAACACGAUUAGAUACCCUGGUAGUCCACGCCCUAUACGAUGUCAAUUAGCUGUUGGGCAAC